AUGAACGCUAGCGGCAGGCUUAACACAUGCAAGUCGAGGGGCAGCACGGGUAGCAAUACCUGGUGGCGACCGGCGCAAGGGUGCGUAACGCGUGAGCAACAUACCCUAUACAGGGGGAUAAUCCAGGGAAACUUGGUCUAAUAUCCCAUAGGAUUUACAGAUGUCAUCAUCUAUAAAUUAAAGCUUCGGUGGUAUAGGAUUGGCUCGCGUGACAUUAGCUAGAUGGUGGGGUAACGGCCUACCAUGGCCAUGAUGUCUAGGGGUUCUGAGAGGAAGACCCCCCACACUGGGACUGAGACACGGCCCAGACUCCUACGGGAGGCAGCAGUGAGGAAUAUUGGACAAUGGAUGGAAAUCUGAUCCAGCCAUGCCGCGUGCAGGAAGACGGCCCUAUGGGUUGUAAACUGCUUUUAUAUGGGAGCAAUAAGGUCUACGCGUAGACCGAUGAGAGUACCAUGUGAAUAAGCAUCGGCUAACUCCGUG
Molecule: ribosomal RNA, 483 nt
Filed under: uncultured bacterium
Lineage: Bacteria
Description: bacterial SSU rRNA
Rfam family: Bacterial small subunit ribosomal RNA
Source: RNAcentral